UACACUCCUGCGGGAGGCAGCAGUGGGGAAUAUUGGACAAUGGGCGCAAGCCUGAUCCAGCCAUGCCGCGUGAGUGAUGAAGGCCCUAGGGUUGUAAAGCUCUUUCACCGGUGAAGAUAAUGACGGUAACCGGAGAAGAAGCCCCGGCUAACUUCGUGCCAGCAGCCGCGGUAAUACGAAGGGGGCUAGCGUUGUUCGGAUUUACUGGGCGUAAAGCGCACGUAGGCGGACUAUUAAGUCAGGGGUGAAAUCCCGGGGCUCAACCCCGGAACUGCCUUUGAUACUGGUAGUCUUGAGUUCGAGAGAGGUGAGUGGAAUUCCGAGUGUAGAGGUGAAAUUCGUAGAUAUUCGGAGGAACACCAGUGGCGAAGGCGGCUCACUGGCUCGAUACUGACGCUGAGGUGCGAAAGCGUGGGGAGCAAACAGGAUUAGAUACCCAAGUAGUCCCAUG
Molecule: ribosomal RNA, 451 nt
Filed under: uncultured organism
Description: partial 16S ribosomal RNA
Rfam family: Bacterial small subunit ribosomal RNA
Source: RNAcentral